UGCUCAGGUUUUUCCCAUUACUCUCUCCGAAUACCCUCUCCUUUUUCUACAAGAAAAUUAAACCUGAUCAUGUAUUACUUGUCUUUGGUGGCCUAUUAUGUCUUUUUUAAUGCAUGGAAAGUUCUUUAUUUUCUCUCUCUACUAGUUUUGGCUUCAUUUCACAUGUUUGUGCUGUCAAGAAGAAUGGGAAAUUUUCAAGAAUUAGCAGCUUUUGCUUGUGAGGAAAAGAUCUGGAAUAAUUUGUUCUGCCUGCAGUUUGAAGUGAACCCAGCAGCUGCAAAUACUUCAUUUUAUGAGGUUCCGCUGCUUGUUUCAAGGUUUAUUUGACGAUCCUUUUUGCUUUUUGCUUCAUCUAAUUUUCUUCUCCUAGACUUUUUUUUGGUAAAAGAAAAAGAAAAAGAAAGAGAAGACAAAUUGUGUAAUGAUGACAUAUAUGAGUGAAGUGAAGCAAAAGCUUAGUUCAUUGAUUCUCCUUAUUGGUUCAUGCAGUUCUCUGUGUGUGUGUGUGUGUGUGUAUACAUUCGACAAAUUAAUCGCAAAUUGAGAUGGUCAUAGUAUUCCAAGCAGCUUUUUUUUUUCUUUUAUUGGUGAUGACAUGAAAAUUAAAUAUUUUUACAUCUGUUGAAAUAGUUUUUGGAUAAGUAUGUAAACUUUCAUCAGCUCUAUAAAAAAAUCUUGGAUUCGCAUUGCCAUGCGGCAAAUAUAUAUCUUGUGAUGGUGUAACGCUUGUAGUCAUUUUGCAUUGUCAGCAGGAAGUAGAUUUCUUUCAAAGUUAUGGCCAUUAUCAUUUUCUCAUAAUUGAACGAACAGUAUAAUCCUUCGUAAUCAACCAAUUAACUCUUUGACUCUUUGGCUUUGGCUCCUUCAUGAAUGUGGAUGCUAUCCCAACUCUCAACUACCAAUCUCCAAUUCUCUUUUAUUAAAUAAAAUUGUACACAUGCUCCUAUAUUUUAUAUAUAUAUAUAUAUGUGUGUGUGUGUGUGUGUGGGCACCCUCAUUUUUUUUUUUAAAACAGACAUAUUGUUAAGCUAUACGACUUAAUAGAGUUAAUUUUCAAUAUAUAUACUAUAAAGUCGAGCUAUUUUGAUAGGCUUAAAAACUGACUUUAGUAAACUUCACGACUUAAAAUUAUGUUCUCAUAAAAAAAAUGAGGACGCACGCACUAAAGAAGAACUAUAUAUAUUUGAUAUAUGUAUAUAUGUAUAUAUGUAUAUGUAUAUGUAUAUGAGAUAAGUUCAAGAGACAUAAUUUUUUACAUAAUUUUAAACACAAUUUUUAGACUAUUAAAUUACAGAAUAAUGAAUGGUUAAGAUUUGUUAUAAGGGAAGACUUUUAACUCAGUUAAUUUCUUUUCUCCCUUUUAUUAAUUACUAAAUAUUUAAUUAUUAUUUUCUCCCUCUAUCUCUUUUUUUAAACUACUUCUUCCCUCAUAGUAAAAUUUACUUUCUAAAUAAUUUUGUAUUCUUUUAAUCUUGUAAUUGCUUAAUAGUGUUUAGGAUAAAACAAAUAACCCUAAUAAGAAACACGUCCACCAAAAUUUUCAUCAACACACAUUAAAAAUUGAUCUAAAAGUGAAAAGUUUCAGUUUUUGUGAAGCCUACAAAGUAAUCAUAAACUAAAUUAAGCACUCGUAGAGCCUCGAAAUUCUACAUGAUUACAAAUUGGACUAUGUUCAAAUCGAACUUUAAGAGUCAUUCAUAUGAAUUCAUAUUUAUUUUCAAUAAUAUUUGACUUUCUUUUGUCAAUUUCAACAAAAUUAAUGUUAAACAUAUCUUGAGUAGCUAUCUUUAAUUUUGAGGAAAGAAGAAGAGAAGAUGAGAACAGGAAAAAAAGAAGCAGAUGAAGACGAUGACCAGAGAAAAAAUAUAUAUUUUAUGGUGGAUAUUAAAAAAAAAAAAACACUACGGUCAUGAUAACAAGCUCAUGAUAACAAUCCAAAGCACAUGAUUUUAUGGUGCAACAAUUAUCUAAAAUGACUUCGGUCACCAGUAUCAAUUUGUGCACGUUUUCCCGCUCAAGCCAACCCAAUUUACGCAGCUAUAUAAUAACUCAACAAGAAAGCAUGACAAUUCAAUUAAAAGUUGAAGCGUUCAAUUAAAUAUAAAACCUAAAACUUUCGGGAGUUAAAUGAAAGACUUGCCCUACUAAGGAAAGUGAAUAAACUUAUUGCCAAAGAAUGAAAGCUCUCUUACCUCAUAACUAAGCUUCUGUUUGGGAUUGAAGUGCUGUAGAUUUUAAGUGAUAGUUGUUGUAGAAAAAAAAAAAAACUAUAGUUAUAAAACAAAAGUUAAUAAUAGUAAACAUAAAUUUUAAAUAAUAAUUUUGAUAAAAUUAUUAAACAUAUAAUAAAUUUUCUAUUAUACAAGUGAAAAAUCAACAUAACUCACGCUUUAGUGCUGUAGUUUAAAAGUUACAGCUGUCUAACUUUAAUCACAAACGCACCCUAACUACAAUAUACAAUAAAAUUUGUGCACAUAAGAACAUCACCUCCUUAAAUUCAUUGCUCCAAUUUUAAUUUUUUUUUUAAAAGACAGAAAAGACUUGACCCACAUUAUUUGUUGCAUCAAUCAAAUUAAUAAGUAAAUUACGUACACAAUUUUGGCUCUGCUAGAAAUACAGAUAUAUAACUGCACUCCUUGCUCAGGUUUUUUCCAUUACUCUCUCCUUUUUCUACAAAAAAAUAAAACCUGAUCAUGUAUUACUUGUCUUUGGUGGCCUAUUAUGCCUUUUUUAAUGCACGAAAAGUUCUUCAUUUUGUUUCUCUACUAGUUUUGGCUUCAUUUCACAUGUUUGUGCUGUCAAGAAGAAUAGGAAAUUUUCAAGAAUUAGCAGCUUUUGCUUGUGAGAAAAAGAUCUGGAAUAAUUUGUUCUGCUUGCAGUCUGCAAAUACUUAAUCUUAUGAGGUUUCAAUGCUUAUUUCAAGGCUUAUUUGAUGAUCUUUUUUGCUUUUUGUUUCAUCUAAUUUUCUUGUCCUAGACUCUUUUUUUUUUUUUCUUUUUGUAAAAGAAAAGAAAAAAGAAAGAGAAGAAAAAUUGUGUAAUGAUGACAUAUAUGAGUGAAGUGAACCAAAAGCUUAGUUCAUUAAUUCUCCUUAUUAGUUCAUGCAGUUCUCUGUGUGUGUGUGUGUACACAUUUGACAAAUUAAUCGUAAAUUAAGAUGGUCAUAGCACAAGCAGCUUUUUUCCUUUUAUUGGUGAUGACAUGAAAAGUUAAAUAUUUUUACAUCUGUUGAAAUAGUUUUUGUCAAAGUAUACAAACUUACUGUUGAAAUAGUUUUUGGAUAGAGUAUUAAUAUAGUCACAAAUUCUUGCAUAAAUUUAUUUUGUACAAAUUAAUGCGGCAUGAUAAAAUUGAUUGAAUUAAAUAUCUUUUGGCCUACAUAAUUUGUUUUUAUUAUUUUAUAUUUUCAUUCAACUAAUAAAUUAAUAUCAAAUCAAUUUGUAUAAAAUAAGUUUAUACAAAAAUUUGUAACUAUAUUAUCACUCUUUCUUUUGGAUAAGUACGUAAACUUACAUCAGCUCUAUAAAAAGAUCUUGGAUCGCAUAGCCAUGUGGCAAUAUAUAUAUUGUGAUGGUGUAACACUUGUAGUCAUUUUGCAUUGCCAGCAGGAAGUAGAUCUCUUUCAAAGUUAUGGCCAUUAUAAUUUUCUCAUAAUUGAAUUGAGCACUAUAAUCCUUCCAAAUCAACCAAUUAAAUCUUUGACUUUGGCUAUGGUUCCUUCAUGAAUAUGGAUGCUAUCCAAUUCUCAACCACCAAUCUCCAAUUCUCUUUUAUUAAAUAAAAUUGUAUAGUCCUAUAUUAUACACAUAGCUACCAUUUUUUAAGUGUGGGCGCCUUUAAUUUUUUUUUUUAAUAUAGAUAUAUUGUUAACUUAUACGACUUAAUAUAGUUAAUUUUUAAUAUACUAUAAAGUUAAACGGUUUAAUAGGCUUAAAAAAAUGAAGGCGCUUACACUAAAAUCAAAACAAUACCGACAACAUCAGUUGUUGGCGGUGUGUGGGGGUGUGUGAGUGAGACUGUGAAAGUGAGUGAGUGGGGCUGGAUAGCUACGGCUGGGGGCUGUGCAUUUGUGCCGUCGUUGUGGAAGUAGAUGAGAAGAGAGGAAUUACCGAAGAUUAAGAAUGGGCAAUCUGAAAUUUAUCUUAUGUUUAACUCGAUUAAAAAAAAUCAUAAAUAUUUUAACACACAAUGAUAACAUUUAGUUGAUUUUUUACGAAAUACAAAAAGCUCAAGUUUAUCAAACUCAAGCAAAUCAAAAUUUAAUGUGCCACAUCUACUCUCAAAUAUAUAAACCCCAAGAAAAAAAAAAAAUUCUCAAACUCCUCAACCAGACAAUAGUGGUUAGCAUGUCGUACCAAACGGAUAUGAUGUUACAAAGAUUUUUUAUAUCAAGGAGCUAGAUAAGCUGCAUGUGUUCCUGUUGAAGCCAACCCAAUUAAUAUGCAUAAUGUACAACGAAGCAGGACCCAUUCAAUUGAAAAUAUAACAAGUAAAGUUAGCUCAAUUUCUUAGCAUAUUGAAUGAAUGAUUGACUUCAAUUAGAAACAACAGACAAAAUCUUGCCAGGUAGGCCAGCCAGCCAGCCAGAUUAAUUAAUAAUUAUCAAUAAUGUGUGUUAAAUUUGCUGCGUACGUUUAUACAUCAGUCAUCAAUCUGUAACUUAUGAAAAUUAUCAAUCUUUCGUUGCCUCAAUCAAAAUAUGAAAAUUAUGUGCACAUUUUCUGCUAGCACUAUACUAUACAUAAAAAAAAAAAAAAACUUACUUGCCCGGGUUUUUUUAAUACAUAUUCUCUCUGAAUAAUACAGCUCCUUUCGCUUCAAGAAAAAUACAAAAUAAAAUAAAGUUGAUGUAUUACUUUUCGCUGGCAGCAUAUUAUGUGAUCUUUAAUGCAUCUAAAGUUCUGUAUUUUCUUUCUCCAUUAGCUAGUUUUGGCUUCAUUUUACAUGGGAAAUUUUCAAGAAUUAUUCGCAGGUUUUGCUUGUGAAGAAAAGGGCAGAAACAAUCAUUUGUUCUGUGCCAUGCACAGUAUCCUCAAUUUGAUGCAAUGUCAUAUGUGUGCCUAAAAAGAACAAUCACAGAAUCCUUAGUUGUAGAUUUCUAGUACUUAUUUAAAAUUCUUCGUACUUACAAGUUAAAUUAAUUAACGUCUCAAAUGCCUUGAGAUAGCUACAGCUAAUAAUUAAAUAAAUAUGAAGGCUACUUAAAGCUAAGUUUGGAUUGCAGAAGAAAUAAAAUGCAUAUUAGAUAUUAAGAGCAUCUCCAAAAGACUUUUUAGAUUUUACCCUUUAAAUAUCAAUUUGUUUACUGAUGUGGCAAAUAAGUGGAUGGAAACAUACAAUCUCCUUCAAAAGACUCAUCAAAUAAGAAAAAGUUAAUAUUAUUUUAAUCAAAUCUUUC
This 5398-nucleotide long non-coding RNA is filed under the name Citrus x clementina. RNAcentral's name for it is "Citrus clementina (C. clementina) long non-coding RNA (CCLE_LNC000636)". The record is from RNAcentral. Lineage: Eukaryota; Viridiplantae; Streptophyta; Magnoliopsida; Sapindales; Rutaceae.